RNAcentral lists this ribosomal RNA (468 nucleotides) under uncultured bacterium. RNAcentral's name for it is "partial 16S ribosomal RNA". It matches the Rfam family "Bacterial small subunit ribosomal RNA", at positions 28 to 507 of the family's 1533-position model. The record is from RNAcentral.
GACGAACGCUGGCGGCGUGCUUAACACAUGCAAGUCGAACGGAAAGGCCCUGCUUUUGUGGGGUGCUCGAGUGGCGAACGGGUGAGUAACACGUGAGUAACCUGCCCUUGACUUUGGGAUAACUUCAGGAAACUGGGGCUAAUACCGGAUAGGAGCUCCUGCUGCAUGGUGGGGGUUGGAAAGUUUCGGCGGUUGGGGAUGGACUCGCGGCUUAUCAGCUUGUUGGUGGGGUAGUGGCUUACCAAGGCUUUGACGGGUAGCCGGCCUGAGAGAGUGUCCGGCCACAUUGGGACUGAGAUACGGCCCAGACUCCUACGGGAGGCAGCAGUGGGGAAUAUUGCACAAUGGGCGGAAGCCUGAUGCAGCAACGCCGCGUGCGGGAUGACGGCCUUCGGGUUGUAAACCGCUUUCGCCUGUGACGAAGCGUGAGUGACGGUAAUGGGUAAAGAAGCACCGGCUAACUACGUG